This is a long non-coding RNA of Sciurus carolinensis (gray squirrel), 4369 nucleotides long. RefSeq lists it as uncharacterized. The transcript is spliced from 3 exons. The record is from RefSeq and is a predicted model, not a curated record. NCBI's taxonomy places the organism in Eukaryota, Metazoa, Chordata, Mammalia, Rodentia, Sciuridae.
AACAAGCCAUAUCCAAACCAUACCACCUAUUUCUGUUUUUAUAGCUGGCUGGGAAUUCCUCUGGGGGGCUGUGGGCAAAUAGCAGGAUGAGGACAACUUUCUGCUUCGGCUAAACCACCUGGGGUGUAGGUGAGACCUCGCCAGGGCUCCAUCUGACUGGUGGAGGAACAAGGGUCACCUAUACUGGGACUCAGGGCCGGCAGAGCAGGAUGUGGGAGAGCACACUGAGAGCAGCAGAAAGAGGACACAGACUCUGGAGGCAGCUGAGGGACUGGACAGAGGGUGGAGUUCAGUGGAGGGAGAGAGUGGACAUCCCCAGCACCGGCUUUCAAUAUUCUAGCACAUUCCACGACUUUUGAAGAACAGAAAAACUGGCGCUCCCUUUGGCAAUUAAAACAAUUUGAAAUCUGGAUUAUUUUCAUCUGGAGCUAGGGACAUCCAGAAUACCACGAGCAUUGAAAUGUUGAACCGAAAGCAGAGAUCACUGGCUUUGAAAGAGCCUGCAGCUCUCCUGCAUGAAACCCUUUCAAGAUACUUCUGGAAAGGUUAGCAGUACUGUGCGGCCAGUGAGUUCCUGGAGGCAGUUGGCAUGAUGCCUAAGGAAAGUGGGAGCCAUGGAUGUUUGUAUGCAGACACUUCCUUCUGAGCACAGCUCCAUUGGUAGAAAGUCAUGAGAUGAUUAUAAUGACAAGACCACAGUAAGGGUAGCUAAGCCCUACCGAGAACCCACACUGAGCAGGGCGCCCCUGUAUUUUUGCAGAUGAAAGCAAUGAAGGCAUGUCUGGUUCACUUCCUAGCAGUAAUUGUGAGGAUGGUUUGACGGCCCCACUGACAGAUGAGAAAGCCGAGGGCAAAUGGUGCUACUUUUCUUCAAGCUCUGCUUCUCUGGGAUACCUGUGGAAGGCAGAUCUGGGCAAAGGCAGAAAAUGUUUCUUUGCCAGAAGCAAGACCUGGGCUGGGAAGAGGGAUCUCCGGGGAAGACCUGCCUCCACAUUUCUAGGCUAAGCCCGGGGGCUUUGUUUACACCUUGAUGGGUGUUUAAUUUGUUGUAAUUUGUCUGUUUGACCACAGGGUUGGCAUGUACAGUUGUGCAGAUGAUGCACUGCACAACUGCAGGAGUUAAGUGGCAUAAGCCUGGGCAACCCAUCUUGCAACCUCUGGGAUGGUGUGUGUGGGUGACCGCACUUGAGAGCUGAGCUGACAGGCGGUAGGGUUAGGAUCGGGUCUCUGUGACCUGGUUGAGAAGCUUCAUUACUCUCCCUGAGCCCAGUUCCUCAUCUGUGAGGUGGGGAUGGAAUGCAGUCCCUUCUCCUCUGGGGUUGCUUGGGAUGACAAAUCACACACAGACCUCCACAGAGCCAGGCCCUGGUGGCCCUCAGUACGGCUUCGUUUCUUGCACUUCCGUCCCCCUGUUGGGACCUCACUGUGCCUGCAUCCUCGUGUCCAGCCCUGUCUGCCCUGGCCGGUGGGCAGGACCCGGUACCUAUCUGUUGGGAGACUGAUGGAGCAACUCAGGGCAGUGGGGCGCUAGGGCAGGUGGCAGCCUGGCAUGUCACUCGGAUCUGGGCUCACCUGCCUUCCCGCCACCCUUCCCUGCCUCCGGAAGCAUCUCCUCAGGUGAGCUCACUCAAGCAGCAGGAGAAAACAGUGUCCACGGACUGUCUUGCAGGAAGGGUGAGAGCUUCAUUUAUCCACACCAUGACUUAAUGUUUCCUAAACUUGGUUGUCAACAUUUAAAAGUUGAGGGAUUGUAUAUACGAACCUGGAUUUCCAACUACUCUUGAAAAAUCAGAAGAUCUAGCCACCGUGGGCCCUCGGCUGCUAUCUGGCAUUCACAGGCUUCAUGCCGGGCGCAUGUCAUCCAGUCCACCACCGAAUGACUCUACCUGCUGCAAGUCCCUGGUUUCGUUUCCCUCCCUUCUGAGGCUGAACUUGAGACGGCUGGCUGUAUGGAGCUCCUUUAUGUCCUCUUGGUCUUCACCUGUGGAACGGGGGUCCCUCGCCAGGGAGAAUCCUGGGGGAUGCCCUCCCACCGUGCCCACGCUCACUACCCAACCUGGGGUGUGCCAUCUACUGACUCUCUUCCUCCCCCGGCCCGUGAGCCGCCAGGCUGCUGCUGCCUUGCUUUGGGACGCAAACAUACACACGUUAUUAGAAGCCCAGAUCAAAGGCGGCGCCCCACAGCCUGCCUCUCAAUGGUCCCUUUGUGCAGACGGAAGCCUGCGAGAGAGUUAGAAUCCAGGGAGAGAGGGAGGGGGCUCCGCACAAAGAUACUUGUCACCAGGAGAAGUCCCCAGAAGAUGAGGUUAAAAGAGGCGCCAGGUGGAGGAUGUACCCUGGCUCCCUGCUGGGAGGCGCGGGUGGAGAAGUCUCCCUUCUGUCCCUUGAGGUUUCAGAGGAAACAGAGGACAGGGGCUGGGCAGGAGGGCGGCCACCGUCUGCCCUCCUGCUCUGGCAGGGUGGUGGGCUCAGGCGCGGGCUGCCGGGGCGGGGGCUCAGAGGCAGAAGAGACAAAAUUGGUGUAUCCUGGGGCGGGUGCUCGGGGAAGGACAGAAGACGCCACGGGCCGGGGCGUCACCUCCGGCCACACAGGCCUGUUGGCUCAGCCACUCAGCAGACCUUUCCAACGCGGCUGCCACGUACCAGGCAAGGUGCGGGGCACGGCGGGCGCACAGGGGACGGACCUGGCGUCGGGGCCCACGUGCAGGGCGGGUGCCGCGCUGUGACCUCCGUCAGACAGAGGGGCACCCCGGCCCCCAGCAGGGCGCCCCGGUUUCACAGGCAUUGUCUCACUGAUCUCCAGGAACAAAGAAGCACUUUGAAGAGUUCAGAUGGGAGGCCAGGAGCCUGCCUGCCAAGGGGCUGAGGGAGGGGCUGGUGGCCUGCAGGUAUGGGGAAGGGGGCUCUCCCGGAGGGGACCCCCUGGGGACCGAAUGGAGGGUAGGCAGCCACUGUCGCGCUGAGCCGCCGAGGAGCUGGGCAGCGUGGAGGGACGGACGGGCCACACCUCCAGCCUGGCAGGGCCCCAGGGUCUACUCUGGACGCUCUUCUAUUCUCGGUCCAUGCUCACUCCCCAGGGGACCACCUCUGGGGCCUGGAUUUGGGCGCCACCUCUAGCCUAUGACACCUCUGGGCAGCUUGCCUCCAAACAGCUGCAGAUCAAGCUGCUGCCACUCACCUGCUGCUCCUGGGGCCCGCGGUCCACCGUGAAGGAGCUCUUCAUCCACCUUGCUCUGCCGACCGGCUCCCCCGGGGCGUCUUCUGCACAGUGAAUGGUGACUCCAUCCUUCUGGUUGCUCAGUCUCCAACCUGCGCAUCUUCCUUCAUUCCCUGCCGCCCCAGGUCCCAUACGUUGGCUGAUCCUGAAGCCUCUAACUUCAAGGCGCAUUCAGCACCCACUCUUUCCAGCCCCUUUGCUGUCAUCACCCUGGUCUACACCACCAUCAUCUCAGACCUGGCCACCUCCCAUCACCCUGCAACCACACUCUGUUUUCAACACAGCAGUCCAGUUCCUCCAGGUCCCAGUCCUUUCUCUUGGGUAAAACUAAAGCCUUUGCUGAGGCCCAUAGGGUCUCAAGAUGUGAUCCUGUCACCCACAACCCCUGCUCCCCUCCCAGCCCCUGAUUCUUUGCUCUCUCUGCUUCAGAAGCAGUGGAAUCCUUGCUGUUUCCAAAACAUCUGUGGCAUGUGCCCACCUCAGGGCCUUUGCACUUGCUGUUCCCAGUCUGGACCUGCCUUCCCGAUAUCCUAUGGUCCCCUUCCUCAUUUUCAAGUCUUUGCUCAAAGGUUGCCAUGUCUGACCUGUGUAUCUGAGACAGUCAUCUCCUGCCCUGGUAGUUCGUCAUCUUCUUUCCCCACUUGAUUUUUACUCUCACAGACACCACAUAUUUCACCCACUGACUGAUUUAUUGUCUGUCUCCCUCGCUGGCAGGUAAGCUUCCUGAGGACAGGCAUUUUUGUCUAUAUAGUGGACACAGAGCCUGGUAUAAAUCAGGGCUCCAGCAAAUCUUUGCUGAAUGACUUGAUUAAUGGAAAAACAGAAACAAAAACAAAAACACCCCCCAUGAUCCCUUCCUCCCUGACUCGGCCUCACCCUCGCCUCCCCAGGGCUGCGACUCACACAGCAGCGCCGCCGAGGCAAGUCCCAGACCUUAGUAGCUACGGAGAGAAGGCUGACCUUUCCAGAGCCGCGGUUCCACGUGGCCAGUCUCCCCGGGGUCUUAUUGGAAGGGCGGACCCUCAGGUCCUGCUCGCUGGCACUGUAACAUGGUCCAGCGGCCGCAUGUGCACUCCGUCCCAAGGAGCCUCCACGAGGCUGCUUGACGACCAGUCUAAGAAAGGAGGACCAAGGGCCUGUCGGGGACCAAGU